Molecule: ribosomal RNA, 484 nt
Filed under: uncultured bacterium
Lineage: Bacteria
Description: partial 16S ribosomal RNA
Rfam family: Bacterial small subunit ribosomal RNA
Source: RNAcentral
AUUGAACGCUGGCGGCAGGCCUAACACAUGCAAGUCGAGCGGAUGAAGGGAGCUUGCUCCUGGAUUCAGCGGCGGACGGGGGAGUAAUGCCUAGGAAUCUGCCUGGUAGUGGGGGAUAACGUCCUGAAACGGGCGCUAAUACCGCAUACGUCCUGAUGGAGAAAGUGGGGGAUCUUCGGACCUCACGCUAUCAGAUGAGCCUAGGUCGGAUUAGCUAGUUGGUGGGGUAAAGGCCUACCAAGGCGACGAUCCGUAACUGGUCUGAGAGGAUGAUCAGUCACACUGGAAGUGAGACACGGUCCAGACUACUACGGGAGGCAGCAGUGGGGAAUAUUGGACAAUGGGCGAAAGCCUGAUCCAGCCAUGCCGCGUGUGUGAAGAAGGUCUUCGGAUUGUAAAGCACUUUAAGUUGGGAGGAAGGGCAGUAAGUUAAUACCUUGCUGUUUUGACGUUACCAACAGAAUAAGCACCGGCUAACUUCGUG